This 72-nucleotide transfer RNA is filed under the name Brisinga sp. SS-2022. RNAcentral's name for it is "tRNA-Leu". It matches the Rfam family "tRNA". Rfam says of the family: Transfer RNA (tRNA) molecules are approximately 80 nucleotides in length. Their secondary structure includes four short double-helical elements and three loops (D, anti-codon, and T loops). Further hydrogen bonds mediate the characteristic L-shaped molecular structure. tRNAs have two regions of fundamental functional importance: the anti-codon, which is responsible for specific mRNA codon recognition, and the 3' end, to which the tRNAs corresponding amino acid is attached (by aminoacyl-tRNA synthetases). tRNAs cope with the degeneracy of the genetic code in two manners: having more than one tRNA (with a specific anti-codon) for a particular amino acid; and 'wobble' base-pairing, i.e. permitting non-standard base-pairing at the 3rd anti-codon position. The record is from RNAcentral. Lineage: Eukaryota; Metazoa; Echinodermata; Asteroidea; Brisingida; Brisingidae.
AUUUGAUUAGCAAAAAGGUUAAUGCUCAAAAUUUAGGAUUUUGUAUGGAGGGUUCGAUUCUCUCAUCUAAUU